RNAcentral lists this ribosomal RNA (481 nucleotides) under uncultured bacterium. RNAcentral's name for it is "partial 16S ribosomal RNA". It matches the Rfam family "Bacterial small subunit ribosomal RNA", at positions 28 to 523 of the family's 1533-position model. The record is from RNAcentral.
GAUGAACGCUGGCGGCGUGCCUAACACAUGCAAGUCGAACGAUGAAACCGCCCCCGGGCGGACAUGAAGUGGCGAACGGGUGAGUAACACGUGACCGACCUGCCCCCCGCCCAGGGACAGCCCCCCGACAGGGGGAUUAAUACCUGGUACUCCGGAAGCGGCGCAUGCCGCCCCCGGGAAAGCUUUUCGCGGCGGGGGAUGGGGUCGCGGCCCAUCAGGUAGACGGCGGGGCAGAGGCCCACCGUGCCGACGACGGGUAGCCGGGUUGAGAGACCGACCGGCCACAUUGGGACUGAGAUACGGCCCAGACUCCUACGGGAGGCAGCAGUGGGGAAUUUUGCGCAAUGGGGGCAACCCUGACGCAGCAACGCCGCGUGCGGGACGAAGGCGUCCGCGUCGUAAACCGCUUUCAGCGGGGAACACUUUUCGAGGGUACCCGCAGAAGAAGCCCCGGCUAAAUACGUGCCAGCCGCCGCAGUAA